This 206-nucleotide long non-coding RNA is filed under the name Lathyrus oleraceus (garden pea). Its description in RNAcentral is "Pisum sativum (pea) long non-coding RNA (PSAT_LNC013162)". The record is from RNAcentral. Lineage: Eukaryota; Viridiplantae; Streptophyta; Magnoliopsida; Fabales; Fabaceae.
ACCAAGUCAUCUGAGGACCCAUCAAAUCUCUGGACCAGUCACAGUCAUCGGGACUAAGUCACCAUAAAUCCGACUUGGGGAGUUCCGAAAUAAACGGAACCGGAGAUUACAUCACUAUCACAGGAACAUCCACUGAACGGAUGACAGCCAGAUCCUCUGAACCGGUACUUUCAAAUUCAACCCGGGGAUCCGAAAUAAACGGAACC